Molecule: non-coding RNA, 72 nt
Organism: Phrynosoma platyrhinos (Desert horned lizard)
Lineage: Eukaryota; Metazoa; Chordata; Lepidosauria; Squamata; Phrynosomatidae
Source: the annotation of a GenBank genome assembly
GCCAGUGCGGUAUAGUGGUUUGAGUGUUAGACUAUGACCCUGGAGACCAGGGUUCAAAUCCCCACUCAGCCA